Molecule: ribosomal RNA, 504 nt
Filed under: uncultured bacterium
Lineage: Bacteria
Description: bacterial SSU rRNA
Rfam family: Bacterial small subunit ribosomal RNA
Source: RNAcentral
GAUGAACGCUAGCGACAGGCUUAACACAUGCAAGUCGAGGGGCAGCAAGAAUUGUAGCAAUACAAUUUGUUGGCGACCGGCGCACGGGUGAGUAACGCGUAUGCAACCCACCUAUCAGAGGCGGAUAGCCCGGUGAAAGCCGGAUUAAUACCGCAUAAAACAGGGGUCCCGCAUGGGAAUAUUUGUUAAAGAUUAAUUGCUGAUAGAUGGGCAUGCGUUCCAUUAGUUAGUUGGUGAGGUAACGGCUCACCAAGACAUCGAUGGAUAGGGGUUCUGAGAGGAAGGUCCCCCACACUGGUACUGAGACACGGACCAGACUCCUACGGCAGGCAGCAGUGAGGAAUAUUGGUCAAUGGACGAGAGUCUGAACCAGCCAAGUCGCGUGAAGGAUGACUGCCCUAUGGGUUGUAAACUUCUUUUAUGUGGGAAUAAAAAAGGGAACGUGUUCCCUAUUGCAUGUACCACUAUGAAUAAGCAUCGGCUAACUCCGUGCCAGCAGCCGCC